GUGAUCGCUUUGGCAGCACAUAGAUUAAAAUUGGAACAAUACAGAGAAGAUCAGCAUGGCCUCUGCACAAGGCUGACAUGCAAAUUUUUGAAGCAUUCCAUAUUUUU
This 107-nucleotide small nuclear RNA is filed under the name Aotus nancymaae (Ma's night monkey). The record is from RNAcentral. Lineage: Eukaryota; Metazoa; Chordata; Mammalia; Primates; Aotidae.